Molecule: non-coding RNA, 24 nt
Filed under: Cricetulus griseus (Chinese hamster)
Lineage: Eukaryota; Metazoa; Chordata; Mammalia; Rodentia; Cricetidae
Source: RNAcentral
AUAAUGUUUUGGGAAGCUACCUGA